UUUAUUUAUUUAUUUUUGCACAAAAUCUACCCUUUAAUCACCUCCCUCAUCGCCUGCACCAAAUCCCCCUUCAAAUCCUCCCAAUUCUCCAACCCAACACUAACCCGCAACAGCCUCUGGUCAACCGUCGGAUCCGUCAUCGCCCUCCACUCAAUCAACGACUCCACCCCUCCCAGGCUCGUCGCAUGGUGGAACAGCCUAAGCUUCGUCGGCAGUAACCGCGAAAACCUCUCCUCCCUCAACGUGAUCGAAAACACCGUCCCAAACCCAUUCGGCAUCUGCUUCCUCACCCACUCCUCCCUUUGCAAACUGGCAUGCUGGACCGUCUCAACCACAGCAUGGACAAUCGCCUCCUCACUCCUCUCUUUAACAUCCGCCCCCGCCAUCCUCAACGCCCCGUCAAUGAACUCCACAAGCCUCGCCGCACUAGCACUCUGCCGCUGGACGCGAACCUCCAGCGUCCGUAGGCUCCUCACCCCCAACCACCCCUCCAUAUUUCCCAUGAC
This 506-nucleotide small RNA is filed under the name Histoplasma capsulatum var. duboisii H88. Its description in RNAcentral is "Histoplasma capsulatum H88 hypothetical RNA". Lineage: Eukaryota; Fungi; Ascomycota; Eurotiomycetes; Onygenales; Ajellomycetaceae. The record is from RNAcentral.